UACAUAGGGGGCAAGCGUUAUCCGGAAUUAUUGGGUGUAAAGGGUGCGUAGACGGAGAAACAAGUUGGUUGUGAAAUCCCUCGGCUCAACCGAGGAACUGCAACCAAAACUAUUUCCCUUGAGUGUCGGAGAGGAAAGUGGAAUUCCUAGUGUAGCGGUGAAAUGCGUAGAUAUUAGGAGGAACACCAGUGGCGAAGGCGACUUUCUGGACGAUAACUGACGUUGAGGCACGAGAGUGUGGGGAGCAAACAGG
RNAcentral lists this ribosomal RNA (253 nucleotides) under uncultured bacterium. Its description in RNAcentral is "partial 16S ribosomal RNA". It matches the Rfam family "Bacterial small subunit ribosomal RNA", at positions 524 to 776 of the family's 1533-position model. The record is from RNAcentral.